Molecule: ribosomal RNA, 315 nt
Filed under: Triticum aestivum (bread wheat)
Lineage: Eukaryota; Viridiplantae; Streptophyta; Magnoliopsida; Poales; Poaceae
Description: partial small subunit ribosomal RNA
Source: RNAcentral
AUGCAUACGGGUUCAGUGCAAUGGUUUUCUGCUUCCUCAUCGACAGUGAUUAUCCGAAACCUGGUACUGUUCCUAACUGUUAUCCUCUACUUUUAUUUGUUCAUGUUGUCUCAACAAACUGACUUGUGCUUAUGGCGACUUGUUUAUGUGUCCAUGGAUCAGAGAGGAUGGAUGAUGCAGUGGUCACAUCAAGCGCCAAGUGCUCGACGUCUCCGGCCGGGUAGAAGACAUCAUGGUCAACAACAGCGACAAGACACCUUCAUGCAACAUUGCAUCGAUGCACAGCACACUUUGUGUCAGCAAUCAAAGAUUUGA